UGACAGGAAAAAUUUCCCUUGUGUUUCCUUGCCCAGAAACUGAAGAAGGGGUGUGCAUGGAGCUCAUCCCAGGCUGAUGAUGCAGUUGACCUGAGAACAAGGCUGUGUAGGAACCACCCCAGGGGCUGCAGAAUCAGCCGUGCACAGAAUACUGCAUGACUAGGGUCUGCCGACACCGGUACAGUGAUUUUGUCAAAAUAUGGAAAUAUGUAGAAUUUUAGACAGAACAGUCAGCUUAAAGCCUUCGAAUCAAACGUGAAAGGUUUCUCCAGACUUGCGAGCUACAGUGCAGUGCCUUGGGCAUUUUUGAGGACAAGAUGUCCCAUGGGUCUACCUUGAUGGAGCCGAUCCAAUUCAUCUCUCCAACAACCACCCUUCCCUUUUGUGACCACCAGGAUGUUAACCUCUCCGACAUCAAGGAGCUCCAUCCAAGUCAGUUCAAGUCAAGCCCC
Acanthaster planci (crown-of-thorns starfish) is the source of this 452-nucleotide long non-coding RNA. Lineage: Eukaryota; Metazoa; Echinodermata; Asteroidea; Valvatida; Acanthasteridae. The record is from RefSeq and is a predicted model, not a curated record.